AAGUCGUAACAAGGUUUCCGUAGGUGAACCUGCGGAAGGAUCAUUCAUAACGAGUGUUUAUGGCACUCUAAAAAUCCAUACCCACCUUGUGUGCAGCGUUAAGAGUCUUUUGUCUCUCUUUCAGAGGGCACGAGAUUUCUUUUAAUUAAUCUACCUUAAACCAGUUUGUCUGAAGCAUUGUAUCAUGAAUAAACAUAAUUCAAAAUACAACUUUCAACAACGGAUCUCUUGGCUCUC
RNAcentral lists this unclassified non-coding RNA (237 nucleotides) under Mortierella sp. Its description in RNAcentral is "partial contains small subunit ribosomal RNA, internal transcribed spacer 1, and 5.8S ribosomal RNA". The stretch from base 1 to 46 matches the Rfam family "Eukaryotic small subunit ribosomal RNA", at positions 1786 to 1831 of the family's 1831-position model. The record is from RNAcentral. Lineage: Eukaryota; Fungi; Mortierellomycota; Mortierellomycetes; Mortierellales; Mortierellaceae.